GACGAACGCUGGCGGCGUGCUUAACACAUGCAAGUCGAACGGAAAGGCCCUGCUUUUGUGGGGUGCUCGAGUGGCGAACGGGUGAGUAACACGUGAGUAACCUGCCCUUGACUUUGGGAUAACUUCAGGAAACUGGGGCUAAUGCCGGAUAGGAGCUCCUGCUGCAUGGUGGGGGUUGGAAAGUUUCGGCGGUUGGGGAUGGACUCGCGGCUUAUCAGCUUGUUGGUGGGGUAGUGGCUUACCAAGGCUUUGACGGGUAGCCGGCCUGAGAGGGUGACCGGCCACAUUGGGACGGAGAUACGGCCCAGACUCCUACGGGAGGCAGCAGUGGGGAAUAUUGCACAAUGGGCGGAAGCCUGAUGCAGCAACGCCGCGUGCGGGAUGACGGCCUUCGGGUUGUAAACCGCUUUCGCCUGUGACGAAGCGUGAGUGACGGUAAUGGGUAAAGAAGCACCGGCUAACUACGUG
RNAcentral lists this ribosomal RNA (468 nucleotides) under uncultured bacterium. Its description in RNAcentral is "partial 16S ribosomal RNA". It matches the Rfam family "Bacterial small subunit ribosomal RNA", at positions 28 to 507 of the family's 1533-position model. The record is from RNAcentral.